CCUACGGGGGGCAGCAAUUAGGAAUCUUGCGCAAUGGGCGAAAGCCUGACGCAGCGACGCCGCGUGACUGAUGAAGUCUUUCGGGAUGUAAAGGUCUUUUGCAGGGGACGAAGGAAGUGACGGUACCCUGCGAAUAAGCUCCGGCUAACUACGUGCCAGCAGCCGCGGUAAUACGUAGGGAGCGAGCGUUGUCCGAAUUUACUGGGCGUAAAGCGCGCGUAGGCGGGUUAUUAAGUUGGGGGUGAAAUGCCGAGGCUUAACCUCGGAACUGCCUCCAAAACUGGUAGCCUUGAGGUAUGGAGAGGGAAGUGGAAUUCCAGGUGUAGCGGUGAAAUGCGUAGAUAUCUGGAGGAACACCCGUGGCGAAGGCGGCUUCCUGGCCAUAUCCUGACGCUGAGGUGCGAAAGCUAGGGGAGCGAACG
RNAcentral lists this ribosomal RNA (422 nucleotides) under uncultured prokaryote. RNAcentral describes it as "bacterial SSU rRNA". It matches the Rfam family "Bacterial small subunit ribosomal RNA", at positions 338 to 774 of the family's 1533-position model. The record is from RNAcentral.